AUUGAACGCUGGCGGCAUGCUUUACACAUGCAAGUCGAACGGCAGCGCGGGCUUCGGCCUGGCGGCGAGUGGCGAACGGGUGAGUAAUGCAUCGGAACGUGCCCAGUAGUGGGGGAUAGCCCGGCGAAAGCCGGAUUAAUACCGCAUACGACCUGAGGGUGAAAGCGGGGGGCCGAAAGGCCUCGCGCUAUUGGAGCGGCCGAUGUCGGAUUAGCUAGUUGGUGGGGUAAAGGCUUACCAAGGCGACGAUCCGUAGCUGGUCUGAGAGGACGACCAGCCACACUGGGACUGAGACACGGCCCAGACUCCUACGGGAGGCAGCAGUGGGGAAUUUUGGACAAUGGGGGCAACCCUGAUCCAGCCAUGCCGCGUGCGGGAAGAAGGCCUUCGGGCUGUAAACCGCUUUUGUUCGGGAAGAAAUCCUCUGGGCUAAUACCCCGGGGGGAUGACGGUACCGGAAGAAUAAGCACCGGCUAACUACGUG
Molecule: ribosomal RNA, 484 nt
Filed under: uncultured bacterium
Lineage: Bacteria
Description: partial 16S ribosomal RNA
Rfam family: Bacterial small subunit ribosomal RNA
Source: RNAcentral